Molecule: ribosomal RNA, 399 nt
Filed under: uncultured Sphingobacteriales bacterium
Lineage: Bacteria; Pseudomonadati; Bacteroidota; Sphingobacteriia; Sphingobacteriales
Description: bacterial SSU rRNA
Rfam family: Bacterial small subunit ribosomal RNA
Source: RNAcentral
UCAAAUGUAUGUUUGACGUAUUCUGAAAGGGAUACUUCUUCGGACAAUAUACAAGGUGCUGCAUGGUUGUCGUCAGCUCGUGCCGUGAGGUGUCGGGUUAAGUCCCAUAACGAGCGCAACCCCUAUCAUUAGUUGCCAUCAGGUCAAGCUGGGGACUCUAAUGAAACUGCCUACGCAAGUAGUGAGGAAGGUGGGGAUGACGUCAAAUCAGCACGGCCCUUACGUCCAGGGCUACACACGUGCUACAAUGGCCAGUACAAAGGGCAGCUACCUGGUGACAGGAUGCUAAUCUCAAAAGCCGGUCUCAGUUCGGAUCGGAGUCUGCAACCCGACUGCGUGAAGUCGGAAUCGCUAGUAAUCGUGAAUCAGAAUGUCACGGUGAAUACGUUCCCGGGCCUU